RNAcentral lists this ribosomal RNA (569 nucleotides) under uncultured Methylotenera sp. RNAcentral's name for it is "bacterial SSU rRNA". It matches the Rfam family "Bacterial small subunit ribosomal RNA", at positions 8 to 573 of the family's 1533-position model. The record is from RNAcentral. Lineage: Bacteria; Pseudomonadati; Pseudomonadota; Betaproteobacteria; Nitrosomonadales; Methylophilaceae.
AGGGUUUGAUCUGGCUCAGAUUGAACGCUGGCGAAAUGCUUUACACAUGCAAGUCGAACGGCAGCACGGACUUCGGUCUGGUGGCGAGUGGCGAACGGGUGAGUAAUGUAUCGGAACGUAUCCAGUAAUGGGGGAUAACUAAUCGAAAGGUUGGCUAAUACCGCAUACGCCCUACGGGGGAAAGCAGGGGAUCUUCGGACCUUGCGUUAAUGGAGCGGCCGAUAUCUGAUUAGCUAGUUGGUGAGGUAAGAGCUCACCAAGGCGACGAUCAGUAGCUGGUCUGAGAGGACGACCAGCCACACUGGAACUGAGACACGGUCCAGACUCCUACGGGAGGCAGCAGUGGGGAAUUUUGGACAAUGGGCGCAAGCCUGAUCCAGCCAUUCCGCGUGAGUGAAGAAGGCCUUCGGGUUGUAAAGCUCUUUCGCAAGGGAAGAAACGAUGCAGACGAAUAAUCUGUGUUAAUGACGGUACCUUGAUAAGAAGCACCGGCUAACUACGUGCCUGCAGCCGCGGUAAUACGUAGGGUGCAAGCGUUAAUCGGAAUUACUGGGCGUAAAGCGUGCGCA